GGAGCGCAGCCCCGCGCUUCUUAUUUUUUUUUUUUUUUUUUUUAAGGAGAAAGCGGCGCUUUCUGCGCGGCUCUGGGCGGCCGUGGGUCCUGCCAGAUGUUUGCAGCGGCGGCGUUUCGGGGGUUGGGAGCCGGCUGUGAAAAUCCCGGCUGAAAACUAUAGAGAGGCGAACGCCCUGCUCCUGAGGCACCCGGAGCUGCCUGGUACGGGCCGGGGGGAAAAGCCCCCGAGGAGCAGCUCGCAGCCCCGAUGGUUUCGGGGGCCCUCCCGGAGUUCCCCCCUCGGGCAGCGGCAGAGCUGCGGCUGCCGGGACUGCGCGCGGAACCUGCGUCGGAGCGCAAGAGCUUCCAGAGCUUGUGAGCCCCUGCCAAAGCUGUCAGGGCUAAAAGAUCAGAAUUGUGGGAAAAAAGCCACUUCAGCCGCUCGCAUGGGGGAAGAGCAGCUUGCUCGCGGGCUCUACUUUGCGUGCAGAAAGCGCACAUGAUAAUCAUUUGAUGACACAAAAAAUGGUCAGAUUGAAUGUCGAGAUUCACUUUCACACUUCGCGUUUCAAAACGCGUUGAAUUGUGUUCCUGUCAGCUUCGGCACCGCCUCCAGUCCACCCCCGGAGAACAUCCCCGGGGCAAACACCCUGGUGUGACAGUCACCAAAGUGUCCUGCUAGAGAAUAGCCAACCAUCAGCUCAGGAAUGCCACGUUAAUUGGAAAAAACACUGAUGCGGCUCUUCUCAGCUUUGUCUCCAAGUGUCCGUAAUGUUCCUCUCCCACAGCCCCGGCUCCCUUCGCGUAGCUACGCAACAACUGUGCAGAUAUAUCCAAUAUUUGUCUGCUUUUAAUAGUUAUGAUUGACAGCACAAUCCUCACUGAUUUUAUGGAUGUGUGCCGUUACUACGGUUUUGUUUGCAAUGAACGCUAAUGUACUUUA
Molecule: long non-coding RNA, 924 nt
Organism: Empidonax traillii (willow flycatcher)
Lineage: Eukaryota; Metazoa; Chordata; Aves; Passeriformes; Tyrannidae
Exons: 2
Source: RefSeq, a predicted model, not a curated record